ACUGCUCAGUAACACGUGGACAACUACCCUUGGGACGGGGAUAACCCGGGAAACUGGGUAUAAUACCCGAUAGAUCUCGGAAGCUGGAAUGCAUCGAGAUCGAAAGCUCCGGUGCCCAAGGAUGGGUCUGCGGCCUAUCAGGUUGUAGUGGGUGUAAUGUACCUACUAGCCUAAAACGGGUACGGGUUGUGAGAGCAAGAGCCCGGAGAUGGAUUCUGAGACACGAAUCCAGGCCCUACGGGGUGCAGCAGGCGCGAAACCUUUACAAUGCGGGCAACCGCGAUAAGGGGACCUCGAGUGCCGACAUCUAAUGUCGGCUGUCGUGAUGCCUAAAAAGCAUUAUAUAGCAAGGACCGGGCAAGACCGGUGCCAGCCGCCGCGGUAACACCGGCGGCUCGAGUGGUGACCGCUAUUAUUGGGUUUAAAGGGUCUGUAGCCGGCCGGAUGAGUCUCUUGAGAAAUCUGGCCGCUUAACGGUCAGGCUUUCAGGAGAUACUGUCUGGCUCGAGGCCGGGAGAGGUGAGAGGUACUUCAGGGGUAGGGGUGAAAUCUUGUAAUCCUUGAAGGACCACCAGUGGCGAAGGCGUCUCACCAAAACGGACCUGACGGCAAGGGACGAAAGCUAGGGGCACGAACCGGAUUAGAUACCCGGGUAGUCCUAGCCGUAAACGAUACUCGCUAGGUGUCGGCCGCGGUGCGACCGUGGUCGGUGCCGUAGGGAAACCGUGAAGCGAGCCACCUGGGAAGUACGGCCGCAAGGCUGAAACUUAAAGGAAUUGGCGGGGGAGCACCACAACGGGUGGAGCUUGCGGUUUAAUUGGAUUCAACGCCGGGAAGCUUACCGGGAUCGACAGCAAUAUGAACGCCAGGCUGAAGACUUUGCUGGAUUAGCUGAGAGGUGGUGCAUGGCCGUCGUCAGUUCGUACUGUGAAGCAUCCUGUUAAGUCAGGCAACGAGCGAGACCCGCAC
This 969-nucleotide ribosomal RNA is filed under the name uncultured archaeon. RNAcentral describes it as "bacterial SSU rRNA". It matches the Rfam family "Archaeal small subunit ribosomal RNA", at positions 85 to 1057 of the family's 1478-position model. The record is from RNAcentral.